RNAcentral lists this ribosomal RNA (253 nucleotides) under uncultured bacterium. RNAcentral's name for it is "partial 16S ribosomal RNA". It matches the Rfam family "Bacterial small subunit ribosomal RNA", at positions 524 to 776 of the family's 1533-position model. The record is from RNAcentral.
UACGGAGGGGGCUAGCGUUGUUCGGAUUUACUGGGCGUAAAGGGCGCGUAGGCGGCGUGUUAAGUCAGCUGUGAAAUCUCCAAGCUUAACUUGGAACGGUCAGCUGAUACUGAUGUGCUAGAGUGCAGAAGGGGCAAUCGGAAUUCUUGGUGUAGCGGUGAAAUGCGUAGAUAUCAAGAGGAACACCUGAGGUGAAGACGGGUUGCUGGGCUGACACUGACGCUGAGGCGCGAAAGCUAGGGUAGCAAACGGG